UACGUAGGGGGCUAGCGUUGUCCGGAAUCAUUGGGCGUAAAGCGCGCGUAGGCGGCCCGGUAAGUCCGCUGUGAAAGUCAAAGGCUCAACCUUUGAAUGUCAGCGGAUACUGCCGGGCUAGAGUUCGGAAGAGGCGAGUGGAAUUCCUGGUGUAGCGGUGGAAUGCGCAGAUAUCAGGAGGAACACCGGUGGCGAAGGCGGGUCUCUGGGCAGUAACUGACGCUGAGGAGCGAAAGCGUGGGGAGCGAACAGG
Molecule: ribosomal RNA, 253 nt
Filed under: uncultured bacterium
Lineage: Bacteria
Description: partial 16S ribosomal RNA
Rfam family: Bacterial small subunit ribosomal RNA
Source: RNAcentral